UCAUGAAAUGAUGAUAGUAUAAUACGUUUCCCUAUUGGUUUGAUUGCCGGAAUGAUGGCAUCAUUUCGUAUUAGCUCUAUCUGAUCAUUU
Non-coding RNA from Ricinus communis (castor bean), 90 nucleotides. Lineage: Eukaryota; Viridiplantae; Streptophyta; Magnoliopsida; Malpighiales; Euphorbiaceae. The record is from Rfam.